Molecule: non-coding RNA, 167 nt
Organism: Pelobates cultripes (western spadefoot toad)
Lineage: Eukaryota; Metazoa; Chordata; Amphibia; Anura; Pelobatidae
Source: the annotation of a GenBank genome assembly
GGUCAGCUGACACAUCCCUGCCAAUCUCCGGCAGACCCUCCCUCCCAGGCCCUCCUACUUCCUGGACAGCAUCCAUGUUGAAGCUGCCUUCUACAUGGAUGCUGUCCAGGAGGUGGGAGGGUCUGGGAGGGAGGGUCUGCCGGAGAUUGGCAGGGAUGUGUCAGCUG